AGGACGAACGCUGGCGGCGUGCUUAACACAUGCAAGUCGAGCGGAAAGGCCCUUCGGGGUACUCGAGCGGCGAACGGGUGAGUAACACGUGAGCAACCUGCCCCUGGCUCUGGGAUAGCCUCCGGAAACGGGGAUUAAUACCGGGCAUGACCCUUGACCGCAUGGUUGGGGGUGGAAAGUUUUUCGGCCAGGGUGGGGCUCGCGGCCUAUCAGCUUGUUGGGGGGGUGACGGCCCACCAAGGCGACGACGGGUAGCC
RNAcentral lists this ribosomal RNA (257 nucleotides) under uncultured bacterium. Its description in RNAcentral is "partial small subunit ribosomal RNA". It matches the Rfam family "Bacterial small subunit ribosomal RNA", at positions 26 to 288 of the family's 1533-position model. The record is from RNAcentral.